This 655-nucleotide long non-coding RNA is filed under the name Triticum aestivum (bread wheat). RNAcentral's name for it is "long non-coding RNA (TAES_LNC003187)". The record is from RNAcentral. Lineage: Eukaryota; Viridiplantae; Streptophyta; Magnoliopsida; Poales; Poaceae.
ACUAAGUGGCAUGACACUUGUUCAAUUACAACAGAUACAUCAUGGUCCAUUACAAUGCUUGCUUCUAUAUUUAAACUACAACCCAGGGCGGUUAGGGAAUGUGCUACUUUAUUACAAUCUCUACUGGAGUACACAAGUUUUAAAACUGUAGAAGUUUUAGUAGAGAAACUCCUUCAGAUCCAGCAUAGUAAUGCAGACCUCAAGAGAGAUCUUUCCCUUCAUGUUCCACACCCGCUAGUCUCAAAACUAAUAUUGCUUAUACCUCAACUUUACUUAGCAGUCACAACUAAUUGUGCUCAUUCGUGAGCCGCCACAAUCUCAACAUGCAAGUAACGUAGUAUAUUCAGAGUUUUACCCAUCGUACAUACGAUAUCAUCUCUUUCAUCGUCUCUAAUGAAAGAUCCCCAGCCACCAUUACUAUUUCCAGAAAAGAAAGCCCAUCACAGUUUACCUUCAAAGUUCCUCCUUCAGGUCAUUUCCAUUUCAUUUUUUUUCCAGUAAUUCUGUUCUCCUUCUUGAAAAUACAAGAGCACUAAUCAACUUGCUUGUAGGGAAUAUAAGAGAGCUCUUCUACAUUUCUUAUUUUACCUUCCUCCCUGCUUUUGCCUCUUUCAAACCACCACUGAUGUAAUGUUCUUAUCUUGAUUUGUAUUUC